Molecule: ribosomal RNA, 2908 nt
Filed under: Salmonella enterica subsp. enterica serovar Typhimurium
Lineage: Bacteria; Pseudomonadati; Pseudomonadota; Gammaproteobacteria; Enterobacterales; Enterobacteriaceae
Also listed under: 1 other name
Description: 23S ribosomal RNA
Rfam family: Bacterial large subunit ribosomal RNA
Source: RNAcentral
GGUUAAGCGACUAAGCGUACACGGUGGAUGCCCUGGCAGUCAGAGGCGAUGAAGGACGUGCUAAUCUGCGAUAAGCGCCGGUAAGGUGAUAUGAACCGUUAUAACCGGCGAUUUCCGAAUGGGGAAACCCAGUGUGAUUCGUCACACUAUCAUUAACUGAAUCCAUAGGUUAAUGAGGCGAACCGGGGGAACUGAAACAUCUAAGUACCCCGAGGAAAAGAAAUCAACCGAGAUUCCCCCAGUAGCGGCGAGCGAACGGGGAGGAGCCCAGAGCCUGAAUCAGCAUGUGUGUUAGUGGAAGCGUCUGGAAAGGUGCGCGAUACAGGGUGACAGCCCCGUACACAAAAGCGCAUGUGCUGUGAGCUCGAUGAGUAGGGCGGGACACGUGGUAUCCUGUCUGAAUAUGGGGGGACCAUCCUCCAAGGCUAAAUACUCCUGACUGACCGAUAGUGAACCAGUACCGUGAGGGAAAGGCGAAAAGAACCCCGGCGAGGGGAGUGAAAAAGAACCUGAAACCGUGUACGUACAAGCAGUGGGAGCACAGGUUUACCUGUGUGACUGCGUACCUUUUGUAUAAUGGGUCAGCGACUUAUAUUCUGUAGCAAGGUUAACCGAAUAGGGGAGCCGGAGGGAAACCGAGUCUUAAUUGGGCGUUAAGUUGCAGGGUAUAGACCCGAAACCCGGUGAUCUAGCCAUGGGCAGGUUGAAGGUUGGGUAACACUAACUGGAGGACCGAACCGACUAAUGUUGAAAAAUUAGCGGAUGACCUGUGGCUGGGGGUGAAAGGCCAAUCAAACCGGGAGAUAGCUGGUUCUCCCCGAAAGCUAUUUAGGUAGCGCCUCGUGAAUUCAUCUCCGGGGGUAGAGCACUGUUUCGGCUAGGGGGCCAUCCCGGCUUACCAACCCGAUGCAAACUGCGAAUACCGGAGAAUGUUAUCACGGGAGACACACGGCGGGUGCUAACGUCCGUCGUGAAGAGGGAAACAACCCAGACCGCCAGCUAAGGUCCCAAAGUCAUGGUUAAGUGGGAAACGAUGUGGGAAGGCCCAGACAGCCAGGAUGUUGGCUUAGAAGCAGCCAUCAUUUAAAGAAAGCGUAAUAGCUCACUGGUCGAGUCGGCCUGCGCGGAAGAUGUAACGGGGCUAAACCAUGCACCGAAGCUGCGGCAGCGACGCUGAUGCGUUGUUGGGUAGGGGAGCGUUCUGUAAGCCUGCGAAGGUGACCUGUGAGGGUUGCUGGAGGUAUCAGAAGUGCGAAUGCUGACAUAAGUAACGAUAAAGCGGGUGAAAAGCCCGCUCGCCGGAAGACCAAGGGUUCCUGUCCAACGUUAAUCGGGGCAGGGUGAGUCGACCCCUAAGGCGAGGCCGAAAGGCGUAGUCGAUGGGAAACGGGUUAAUAUUCCCGUACUUGGUGUUACUGCGAAGGGGGGACGGAGAAGGCUAUGUUGGCCGGGCGACGGUUGUCCCGGUUUAAGCGUGUAGGUGUGUGUUCCAGGUAAAUCCGGUUCACUUUAACACUGAGGCGUGACGACGAGGCACUACGGUGCUGAAGCAACAAAUGCCCUGCUUCCAGGAAAAGCCUCUAAGCAUCAGGUAACACGAAAUCGUACCCCAAACCGACACAGGUGGUCAGGUAGAGAAUACCAAGGCGCUUGAGAGAACUCGGGUGAAGGAACUAGGCAAAAUGGUGCCGUAACUUCGGGAGAAGGCACGCUGACACGUAGGUGAAGUGAUUUACUCAUGGAGCUGAAGUCAGUCGAAGAUACCAGCUGGCUGCAACUGUUUAUUAAAAACACAGCACUGUGCAAACACGAAAGUGGACGUAUACGGUGUGACGCCUGCCCGGUGCCGGAAGGUUAAUUGAUGGGGUCAGCGCAAGCGAAGCUCCUGAUCGAAGCCCCGGUAAACGGCGGCCGUAACUAUAACGGUCCUAAGGUAGCGAAAUUCCUUGUCGGGUAAGUUCCGACCUGCACGAAUGGCGUAAUGAUGGCCAGGCUGUCUCCACCCGAGACUCAGUGAAAUUGAACUCGCUGUGAAGAUGCAGUGUACCCGCGGCAAGACGGAAAGACCCCGUGAACCUUUACUAUAGCUUGACACUGAACAUUGAGCCUUGAUGUGUAGGAUAGGUGGGAGGCUUUGAAGUGUGGACGCCAGUCUGCAUGGAGCCGACCUUGAAAUACCACCCUUUAAUGUUUGAUGUUCUAACGUGGACCCGUAAUCCGGGUUGCGGACAGUGUCUGGUGGGUAGUUUGACUGGGGCGGUCUCCUCCUAAAGAGUAACGGAGGAGCACGAAGGUUGGCUAAUCCUGGUCGGACAUCAGGAGGUUAGUGCAAUGGCAUAAGCCAGCUUGACUGCGAGCGUGACGGCGCGAGCAGGUGCGAAAGCAGGUCAUAGUGAUCCGGUGGUUCUGAAUGGAAGGGCCAUCGCUCAACGGAUAAAAGGUACUCCGGGGAUAACAGGCUGAUACCGCCCAAGAGUUCAUAUCGACGGCGGUGUUUGGCACCUCGAUGUCGGCUCAUCACAUCCUGGGGCUGAAGUAGGUCCCAAGGGUAUGGCUGUUCGCCAUUUAAAGUGGUACGCGAGCUGGGUUUAGAACGUCGUGAGACAGUUCGGUCCCUAUCUGCCGUGGGCGCUGGAGAACUGAGGGGGGCUGCUCCUAGUACGAGAGGACCGGAGUGGACGCAUCACUGGUGUUCGGGUUGUCAUGCCAAUGGCACUGCCCGGUAGCUAAAUGCGGAAGAGAUAAGUGCUGAAAGCAUCUAAGCACGAAACUUGCCCCGAGAUGAGUUCUCCCUGAGACUUAGAGUCUCCUGAAGGAACGUUGAAGACGACGACGUUGAUAGGCCGGGUGUGUAAGCGCAGCGAUGCGUUGAGCUAACCGGUACUAAUGAACCGUGAGGCUUAACCUU